This is a non-coding RNA of Pelobates cultripes (western spadefoot toad), 542 nucleotides long. The record is from the annotation of a GenBank genome assembly. Lineage: Eukaryota; Metazoa; Chordata; Amphibia; Anura; Pelobatidae.
CGAGAUUCUAUUUGGGACUGCACCUAGGCUAGGUUGCUAUUUUCCCCAACAACUGCAACUUCAAACUGAUGUUUUAGUAGAUUAUGUAACUGAACUCGCAAAUGCUUUGAACAAAAUCCAUGCCCAAGUUUUCUCUUCAAUUCCAGAUCCUGAUUCUGACACAGGCAACCACAGUCUGCUCCCCGGUGACUGGGUUCUGGUCAAGAAAUUUGUGCGAAAACAUACCCUGGAACCAAGAUUUGACGGACCGUUCCAAGUUCUCCUGAUCUCCCCUACCUCUGUCAAAUUGUCCGGAAGGCCUAACUGGAUCCACGCUUCCCAUUGCAAGAAGACACCUGCCCCAGAGGAAGCUAAUUCUAUGCAACCAUGUGCCUCUGGUACAUUAUCUCCUUAGUUGGCCUCCUUAAAGCCCAGCAGGUGGCCAUCACCAAAGAUGCUAGUGGGUACACUUUCUGGUAUAAUUCAUCAUGUACCCAUGUGGCUACAUUCACUUUUGAUUACUGUGAUAUUGUAGAAUGCCCAUUCCCUAAGUCACAGAUUCA